AAGUCGAACGGUAACAUUUCUAGCUUGCUAGAAGAUGACGAGUGGCGGACGGGUGAGUAAUGCUUGGGAACUUGCCUUUGCGAGGGGGAUAACAGUUGGAAACGACUGCUAAUACCGCAUAAUGUCUUCGGACCAAACGGGGCUUAGGCUCCGGCGCAAAGAGAGGCCCAAGUGAGAUUAGCUAGUUGGUAAGGUAACGGCUUACCAAGGCGACGAUCUCUAGCUGUUCUGAGAGGAAGAUCAGCCACACUGGGACUGAGACACGGCCCAGACUCCUACGGGAGGCAGCAGUGGGGAAUAUUGCACAAUGGGGGAAACCCUGAUGCAGCCAUGCCGCGUGUGUGAAGAAGGCCUUCGGGUUGUAAAGCACUUUCAGUUGUGAGGAAAAGUUAGUAGUUAAUACCUGCUAGCCGUGACGUUAACAACAGAAGAAGCACCGGCUAACUCCGUGCCAGCAGCCGCGGUAAUACGGAGGGUGCGAGCGUUAAUCGGAAUUACUGGGCGUAAAGCGCACGCAGGCGGUUUGUUAAGCUAGAUGUGAAAGCCCCGGGCUCAACCUGGGAUGGUCAUUUAGAACUGGCAGACUAGAGUCUUGGAGAGGGGAGUGGAAUUCCAGGUGUAGCGGUGAAAUGCGUAGAUAUCUGGAGGAACAUCAGUGGCGAAGGCGACUCCCUGGCCAAAGACUGACGCUCAUGUGCGAAAGUGUGGGUAGCGAACAGGAUUAGAUACCCUGGUAGUCCACACCGUAAACGCUGUCUACUAGCUGUGUGUGUCUUUAAGACGUGCGUAGCGAAGCUAACGCGCUAAGUAGACCGCCUGGGGAGUACGGCCGCAAGGUUAAAACUCAAAU
This 850-nucleotide ribosomal RNA is filed under the name marine metagenome. RNAcentral's name for it is "bacterial SSU rRNA". It matches the Rfam family "Bacterial small subunit ribosomal RNA", at positions 59 to 906 of the family's 1533-position model. The record is from RNAcentral.